This 468-nucleotide ribosomal RNA is filed under the name uncultured bacterium. RNAcentral describes it as "partial 16S ribosomal RNA". It matches the Rfam family "Bacterial small subunit ribosomal RNA", at positions 28 to 507 of the family's 1533-position model. The record is from RNAcentral.
GACGAACGCUGGCGGCGUGCUUAACACAUGCAAGUCGAACGGAAAGGCCCUGCUUUUGUGGGUUGCUCGAGUGGCGAACGGGUGAGUAACACGUGAGUAACCUGCCCUUGACUUUGGGAAAACUUCAGGAAACUGGGGCUAAUCCCGGAUAGGAGCUCCUGCUGCAUGGUGGGGGUUGGAAAGUUUCGGCGGGUGGGGAUGGACUCGCGGCUUAUCAGCUUGUUGGUGGGGUAGUGUCUUACCAAGGCUUUGACGGGUAUCCGGCCUGAGAGGGUGACCGGCCACAGUGGGACUGAGAUACGGCCCAGACUCCUACGGGAGGCAGCAGUGGGGAAUAUUGAACAAUGGGCGGAAGCCUGAUGCAGCAACGCCGCGUGCGGGAUGACGGCCUUCGGGUUGUAAACCGCUUUCGCCUGUGACGAAGCGUGAGUGACGGUAAUGGGUAAAGAAGCACCGGCUAAGUACGUG